RNAcentral lists this ribosomal RNA (460 nucleotides) under uncultured bacterium. Its description in RNAcentral is "partial 16S ribosomal RNA". It matches the Rfam family "Bacterial small subunit ribosomal RNA", at positions 338 to 795 of the family's 1533-position model. The record is from RNAcentral.
CCUACGGGAGGCAGCAGUGAGGAAUAUUGGUCAAUGGGCGCGAGCCUGAACCAGCCAAGUAGCGUGAAGGAUGACUGCCCUACGGGUUGUAAACUUCUUUUAUAAAGGAAUAAAGUUAGGCACGUGUGCCUUUUUGUAUGUACUUUAUGAAUAAGGAUCGGCUAACUCCGUGCCAGCAGCCGCGGUAAUACGGAGGAUCCGAGCGUUAUCCGGAUUUAUUGGGUUUAAAGGGAGCGUAGAUGGGUUGUUAAGUCAGUUGUGAAAUUUUGCGGCUCAACCCUAAAAUUGCCAUUGAUACUGGCAGCCUUGAGUACAGUUGAGGUAGGCGGAAUGCGUGGUGUAGCGGUGAAAUGCUUAGAUAUCACGAAGAACACCGAUUGCGAAGGCAGCUUACUAAACUGCCACUGACAUUGAUGCACGAAAGUGUGGGUAUCAAACAGGAUUAGAUACCCUGGUAGUC